AAAUAUAUUAUUCACAAAUGAUACAUAAAGUUGGAAGCUUUAUGCAGAUAGGAUUAUAUCAUUAUUAGGAUUUGUUUAACACAUAUUGAACAUGACCACAAAGAUGAUUUAUUCGUGAUCGUUAGGAAUAAGACUCUAUUUGAUCAUCGAAGGAGUCACUUAAAUCCUAAGCCAGUAAUGUACCUUUAAUUAGUAACUCAAAUUCUUUGAGAGCCAAUGAAUGAAAUCUUGAUUGGAACAUUGAUCUCAGUACUUUGUGAAACAGUGCAAAUGAUUUCACAUAAAAAAAAAAUUAAUCAUUUCAUUGAGAUAUAAUUAUUCUAAGAGAUUUUCUAGUGGGAAUGGAAUCCGAGCUCAGUAAUCUGAUAACAAGAACAAAUUGACUUGUGGCCAUGAGUCGAUCUUUCGAGCAGACUUUUUUGCAUUGCUCUUUCUCAAAACGAGCUAAGAAUGUAUUAGCACAACUUGUACCCCUUCUUCCAAAGGCCAAAAAGAUUCAUCCUCGAAUCAAAACGGGCAUAAUCGGACGAUAAGUUACUCACACAACCAAUUACUUGACAUUGAAGACAUUAACAGUAUGAACAUGGCUAGGUAGCUUCAGAUAGUAAGUGUUGUAGUUGAUCUUCUCAAAAAUGUCAACAAAACCAAUCUUCUUGGAAGCGCAACUUGUUGAGGGAGAUAUUUGGCUACUAGGAAAGAAAUAUUUGAAUUUACAUGCCCUCCUC
RNAcentral lists this long non-coding RNA (725 nucleotides) under Olea europaea (common olive). Its description in RNAcentral is "long non-coding RNA (OEUR_LNC002130)". Lineage: Eukaryota; Viridiplantae; Streptophyta; Magnoliopsida; Lamiales; Oleaceae. The record is from RNAcentral.